Molecule: ribosomal RNA, 207 nt
Filed under: uncultured bacterium
Lineage: Bacteria
Description: partial 16S ribosomal RNA
Rfam family: Bacterial small subunit ribosomal RNA
Source: RNAcentral
CACGUAGGCGGCUUUGCAAGUUAGAGGUGAAAGCCCAGGGCUCAACCCUGGAAUUGCCUUUAAAACUGCAUCGCUAGAAUUGUGGAGAGGUAAGUGGAAUUCCGAGUGUAGAGGUGAAAUUCGUAGAUAUUCGGAAGAACACCAGUGGCGAAGGCGACUUACUGGACACAUAUUGACGCUGAGGUGCGAAAGCGUGGGGAGCAAACA